UCAAAUUUCCGUAUCAGUCAACAAUGCUAUCAAUCUGAGAGGCGUUACUAUUGAGUAAUCAAUGCAAACUUAAAUUUGAUAUAUGCAGCAUGAUUGAAAUAAACUCUUUUCCCCUUUCUUUCUUUCUUUUCUGCAUAGGGUUUUCCCGUCAUGGUCGACAAAUUCAGGUCUUGAGAGUUUGGUUCUCUCGCAACAGGUAAGUUUAUCUAUCAAUUGUAAUUGUAAUUGCAGUAGGUUUACCAUCUUGAAUUAAUGUUAAGUUAUUAUGAUUAAACCCAUUCUAUUGAGCCCAACAUGAUUGUAUAAAUGUCUGAAAGAUGUUCAGAAUCUUUUAUCUUAAGUACACUUCGUUAGUGCCAUGGGUUUUGUUUCGUAGCAUAUAUACGUUUUCUUCCUAAUUUAUUUAGUUCGAUCUCGGUUAUUCUGCUUUGCCCCCAAUAGUGUUGUUUUAAUUGUAAGACUAUCUACAGGCAUACUACAAAUCUAACGAAGGUAAUUCAGUUUGACUAUCUCUUCUGUUUUAGUUUACAUUUUCUUUUUCCUUUUUUUUUUUUUUCAAAUGUGUGUGCAAUUGUUUCUUCAGUGUUAAAUCGGUAAGAGAAUUAUAAUUGUGGUCAGUAUGGAGAUUUUUCAUUGCGCCUCUUUAUGGGUUUUUUGAUAUCUCUACAGACACAUCAAUAGAGAUCCUUCAUUUUUCAAGUUCAGUUUCUUAUACGGCUGAACCUAAAUCCUGUGACGUGGUCAUUCUCACACUUUUUAAAAAGCCAAGGUAUGGGCUAUGAUUUACUCUGGUGCUUGAGAAACAAAACUUUUGAUGUACUGAUUACUGACUCAUCUCAUUUUGAGAAUUACUAAAUUAUACCGGGCACCAUUUUAAAUUUGAUCUAAUUUGAAUCUCAAUAUUACCCUCACAUAGUUUGUCUAAGAUCUCGAGAUUGCAAUCGGUUAUUAACCUAAACGGAAUUCAUGAGUGUGGUCAAGCAAUCAGAUCUAGAGGUAUCCGCAGCCGUACUUGGUAACUGGGAUACACACACAGUGGUCGAGUAGUACGCUUGUUGGAAGCCAUUGCAGAUUGCAGGAAGCUAUGCACAACAAGCUGCAGGGAGAGAUGGUAGGAAAAAAAUCGGAGGACAUUGAGUGAUUUUGUUUUGAUGCAUUUUAUUUGAAUAUAUAUUGUAAUUAGAGAAUAAACAGUGUAUUCACUAAUUUCAUUUCGAUAAGAAAGAAUCACUACUGGAUUAGAAGUCUGAAUUGUCUUCUGUGG
Long non-coding RNA from Papaver somniferum (opium poppy), 1264 nucleotides. RefSeq lists it as uncharacterized. NCBI's taxonomy places the organism in Eukaryota, Viridiplantae, Streptophyta, Magnoliopsida, Ranunculales, Papaveraceae. The transcript is spliced from 3 exons. The record is from RefSeq and is a predicted model, not a curated record.